RNAcentral lists this transfer RNA (76 nucleotides) under Thermodesulfobacteriota bacterium. RNAcentral describes it as "tRNA-Ala". It matches the Rfam family "tRNA". Rfam says of the family: Transfer RNA (tRNA) molecules are approximately 80 nucleotides in length. Their secondary structure includes four short double-helical elements and three loops (D, anti-codon, and T loops). The record is from RNAcentral. Lineage: Bacteria; Pseudomonadati; Thermodesulfobacteriota. RNAcentral also lists the same sequence under 1 other name.
GGGGAUGUAGCUCAGCUGGGAGAGCGCCGCGUUCGCAAUGCGGAGGCCAGGGGUUCGAGCCCCCUCAUCUCCACCA